RNAcentral lists this ribosomal RNA (390 nucleotides) under uncultured bacterium. Its description in RNAcentral is "bacterial SSU rRNA". It matches the Rfam family "Bacterial small subunit ribosomal RNA", at positions 28 to 417 of the family's 1533-position model. The record is from RNAcentral.
GACGAACGCUGGCGGCGUGCUUAACACAUGCAAGUCGAGCGGUAAGGCCCUUUCGGGGGUACACGAGCGGCGAACGGGUGAGUAACACGUGGGUGACCUGCCCUCAGCUCUGGGAUAAGCCUGGGAAACCGGGUCUAAUACCGGAUAUGACUCCAUGACGCAUGUUGUGGGGUGGAAAGCCUUGUGCGGCUGAGGAUGGGCCCGCGGCCUAUCAGCUUGUUGGUGGGGUGANGGCCUACCAAGGCGACGACGGGUAGCCGGCCUGAGAGGGCGACCGGCCACACUGGGACUGAGACACGGCCCAGACUCCUACGGGAGGCAGCAGGUGGGAAUCUUGCGCAAGUGGGACGAAAGCCUGACGCAGCGACGCCGCGUGAGGGAUGACGGCCU